Molecule: ribosomal RNA, 365 nt
Filed under: uncultured Streptococcus sp.
Lineage: Bacteria; Bacillati; Bacillota; Bacilli; Lactobacillales; Streptococcaceae
Description: bacterial SSU rRNA
Rfam family: Bacterial small subunit ribosomal RNA
Source: RNAcentral
GUUACUUCGGUACAUCGGUGACAGGUGGUGCAUGGUUGUCGUCAGCUCGUGUCGUGAGAUGUUGGGUUAAGUCCCGCAACGAGCGCAACCCCUAUUGUUAGUUGCCAUCAUUCAGUUGGGCACUCUAGCGAGACUGCCGGUAAUAACCGGAGGAAGUGGGGAUGACGUCAAAUCAUCAUGCCCCUUAUGACCUGGGCUACACACGUGCUACAAUGGUUGGUACAACGAGUUGCGAGUCGGUGACGGCGAGCUAAUCUCUUAAAGCCAAUCUCAGUUCGGAUUGUAGGCUGCAACUCGCCUACAUGAAGUCGGAAUCGCUAGUAAUCGCGGAUCAGCACGCCGCGGUGAAUACGUUCCCGGGCCUU